AACGAACGCUGGCGGCGUGCCUAACACAUGCAAGUCGAACGUGAUUGGGGAGCUUGCUCCUCAUGAAAGUGGCGCACGGGUGAGUAACGCGUAGAUAAUCUACCUGAUGAUUCGGGAUAACACUUCGAAAGGGGUGCUAAUACGGGAUAAGCCCACGGAGUCUUUGGACACUGCGGGAAAAGGAGGGGACCUUCGGGCCUUCCGUCAUCAGAUGAGUCUGCGUACCAUUAGCUAGUUGGUAGGGUAAAGGCCUACCAAGGCGACGAUGGUUAGCUGGUCUGAGAGGAUGAUCAGCCACACUGGAACUGAGACACGGUCCAGACUCCUACGGGAGUCAGCAGUGGGGAAUUUUGCGCAAUGGGGGAAACCCUGACGCAGCAACGCCGCGUGAGUGAUGAAGGCCCUUGGGUCGUAAAGCUCUGACAGAGGUAAAGAAAUGUGGGUGGCUAAUAUCCAUUCCACUUGACGGUACCCUCAAAGGAAGCACCGGCUAACUCCGUGCCAGCCGCCGCGGUAA
Molecule: ribosomal RNA, 517 nt
Filed under: uncultured bacterium
Lineage: Bacteria
Description: partial 16S ribosomal RNA
Rfam family: Bacterial small subunit ribosomal RNA
Source: RNAcentral